Molecule: microRNA precursor, 198 nt
Filed under: Oryza brachyantha (malo sina)
Lineage: Eukaryota; Viridiplantae; Streptophyta; Magnoliopsida; Poales; Poaceae
Description: MIR812 microRNA precursor family
Rfam family: MIR812 microRNA precursor family
Source: Rfam by way of RNAcentral
AAUAAACCAAUAUUUUACUUUAUACUACUAUGAUUGACUUUUCUUCUUAUUAAAAAAAUCAAUUAAUAUUUUUAUUUUUAUUAGAUGAUAAAUUAUGAAUAUUACUUUACAUGUGAUUAACUUUUUUAAAUUUUUUUAAAAAAUUAAAUAAGAUGGAUGGUCAAUCGCUGGACACGAAAACCGAAAGUUUGGUUUAUA